ACGGAAGGCAGCAGUGGGGAAUAUUGCACAAUGGGGGAAACCCUGAUGCAGCUACGCCACGUGUGGGAAGAAGCAUUUCGGUGUGUAAACCACUGUCGUGAAGGAAUAAUGCUGGACCUCGGUCCAGUUGAAUGUACUUUGAAAGGAAGCACCGGCAAACUUCGUGCCAGCAGCCGCGGUAAUACGAGGGGUGCAAGCGUUGUUCGGAAUCACUGGGCGUAAAGGGAGCGCAGGCGGAGAUGCAAGCAGUCUGUACAAUACCGGGGCCCAACCCCGGACCUGCAGACUGGACUGUGUCUCUUGGAUAGUUCAGGGGCAGGCGGAAUUCCUGGUGUAGCGGUGGAAUGCGUAGAGAUCAGGAAGAACACCGAUGGCGAAGGCAGCCUGCUGGGGACUCAUCGACGCUGAGGCUCGAAAGUGCGGGCAGCAAACAGGAUUAGAUACCCUGGUA
Molecule: ribosomal RNA, 451 nt
Filed under: uncultured Fibrobacter sp.
Lineage: Bacteria; Pseudomonadati; Fibrobacterota; Fibrobacteria; Fibrobacterales; Fibrobacteraceae
Description: partial 16S ribosomal RNA
Rfam family: Bacterial small subunit ribosomal RNA
Source: RNAcentral